Molecule: small RNA, 1100 nt
Filed under: Trichoderma harzianum
Lineage: Eukaryota; Fungi; Ascomycota; Sordariomycetes; Hypocreales; Hypocreaceae
Description: eukaryotic LSU rRNA
Rfam family: Eukaryotic large subunit ribosomal RNA (bases 510-1100)
Source: RNAcentral
AAUGUGAACGUUACCAAACUGUUGCCUCGGCGGGAUCUCUGCCCCGGGUGCGUCGCAGCCCCGGACCAAGGCGCCCGCCGGAGGACCAACCAAAACUCUUAUUGUAUACCCCCUCGCGGGUUUUUUUUAUAAUCUGAGCCUUCUCGGCGCCUCUCGUAGGCGUUUCGAAAAUGAAUCAAAACUUUCAACAACGGAUCUCUUGGUUCUGGCAUCGAUGAAGAACGCAGCGAAAUGCGAUAAGUAAUGUGAAUUGCAGAAUUCAGUGAAUCAUCGAAUCUUUGAACGCACAUUGCGCCCGCCAGUAUUCUGGCGGGCAUGCCUGUCCGAGCGUCAUUUCAACCCUCGAACCCCUCCGGGGGGUCGGCGUUGGGGAUCGGCCCUGCCUUGGCGGUGGCCGUCUCCGAAAUACAGUGGCGGUCUCGCCGCAGCCUCUCCUGCGCAGUAGUUUGCACACUCGCAUCGGGAGCGCGGCGCGUCCACAGCCGUUAAACACCCAACUUCUGAAAUGUUGACCUCGGAUCAGGUAGGAAUACCCGCUGAACUUAAGCAUAUCAAUAAGCGGAGGAAAAGAAACCAACAGGGAUUGCCCCAGUAACGGCGAGUGAAGCGGCAACAGCUCAAAUUUGAAAUCUGGUCCCUAGGGCCCGAGUUGUAAUUUGUAGAGGAUGCUUUUGGUGAGGUGCCGCCCGAGUUCCCUGGAACGGGACGCCACAGAGGGUGAGAGCCCCGUCUGGCUGGCCGCCGAGCCUCUGUAAAGCUCCUUCGACGAGUCGAGUAGUUUGGGAAUGCUGCUCAAAAUGGGAGGUAUAUGUCUUCUAAAGCUAAAUAUUGGCCAGAGACCGAUAGCGCACAAGUAGAGUGAUCGAAAGAUGAAAAGCACCUUGAAAAGAGGGUUAAAUAGUACGUGAAAUUGUUGAAAGGGAAGCGCUUGUGACCAGACUUGGGCGCGGCGGAUCAUCCGGGGUUCUCUCCGGUGCACUUCGCCGCGUCUAGGCCAGCAUCAGUUCGUCGCGGGGGAAAAAGGCUUCGGGAACGUGGCUCCUCCGGGAGUGUUAUAGCCCGUUGCUUAAUACCCUGCGGUGGACUGAGGACCGCCAUCU